This 2819-nucleotide long non-coding RNA is filed under the name Mus musculus (house mouse). RNAcentral's name for it is "long non-coding RNA chr10:82891381-82894200". Lineage: Eukaryota; Metazoa; Chordata; Mammalia; Rodentia; Muridae. The record is from RNAcentral.
GAAGAAAACACUUGAAGUUUUAUGACUCUGGCCUCCAGACUACCAUGAGUACAUACUUAUGCAUGUCCACGCACACACACACACACACACACACACACACACACACACACACAUACACACACGGCUUGAGUGUAAGAUGGUAGAGUGCUUGCCUCAGCAUGCAUAAAGCUGUGGGUUUAAUCCCAUUGCUACACUAACUGGGCAUGGUAGCAUACGCCUGCAGUCCUAGCACUGGGGUGGAGGGAGGAGGGUCAGAAGUUCAGAGUCCGUCUCAGCUCCAGUGUAGAUUUGUACACGGCACAGGCUACAGACCCCGUAUUUUAAACAACCAAAACCACAGCUGUGGGAAAGCACUGUGUUUCUGUGUGCUUUGCAUUUCUGUCAUUAGGGAUGGUGUCCUCCAGAUUGACAUGUGCUAACCCGAUUGGAAACAUAAAAUUCUAACCAGUUUCUUCAAACAGGCAUGGCAGAGAGGUAGUGGAGUGCGAGUCACAGAGGUUUUGACAUUUAGAAAUGUCAAAAUAAAAUUUUUCUAUUUUCAAAAAAUUUUGAAGAGUCUACAUUAUUUAUUUAUUUAUUUAUUUAUUUAUUUAUUUAUGAGACAGGAUUUCUUUGUGUAGCCUUGGUUGUCUGUCCUGAAACUUCCUUUCUAGAUCAGGCUGGCCUCAGACGCAGAGAUAACCCCUGCCUCCCGAGUGCCCCGCUUAGAUCAUCAUCUUGGCUGUAUCAGUCUUUCAGUACAGUGACACAGGUUGCAUUGCCUGCAUGGGAAAGGUGCCAGUGACUUUUGUUUUUUACGAGUACAUUAACAGUAUCACCAACAGGCUUAGUGUGAGAAAACAGAAAUUAGGCUGGCAAGAUGCCUCAGCAGUUAAGAGUUUAUACAGACCCUUUUGUAGAGAACUAGAGUUUAGUCCCCAGCACACAUGUCAGGGUUCACAUCCCAGUAACUCUAGCUCCAGGGAGCUUGGGUGCCUGCACACUUGGCAUUUGGACACAUAUACACAUAAAUAAUUUUUAAGGUUAUAAAAAAUAAAUGAAAUGCCCUUUUCAAAGAAAGAAACAACAGAAAUAUAUCUUCUCCCCAUGCUGGCCGCGCUAUCCCCACUCCCAGCAUCUCGACCUCAGCAGCCUGGAAAUGUCUCCAGCCUGCUGCAGUCCUACUGUGGGAAGGGAACUGAGGGGAACACGGGUAUAGUGGCGACACUGCAGACAAAUUUGAGUCAGUGUUGGCAAGACCUAAGACUGACUAGCUACAUGAGGUCCUACUGUGUGCACCAGGCACUGUGUUCUCCCUGUGUCAGAGUCUCCAUUUUCUUUCCUGAGGAACUUGAGGGCAGCAUCUCCUGUUGACAGACAAGGACGCUGAGAACAAGUUGCAAGGACUUGGCCCAUGGCUUCCUAGCCUGAGUCGUGAUCUUAUUCAGUAACUGCUUUUCAUUGAAGUCUGGCAGGUCUUAGCUUCUCAGCUUGGCUUACAGCAAAGUUAGCUGAGCUCGCAACAGGAAGGCCACAGGAAGCGCUUAGGUAGGAGGUGAGUGUCUGAGACUAUAGCAGCUGACCCAGACUGCUGCAUCUGAGGAGGUAGCUCUUUCUCCCCAGGGUCCUUCACACACAGAAGGUGCAGCUGGGCUGAAGGUGGCCUGGGUGUUUGCAGUGCAUGACAGGAGCAGAGUAGGUUUUGUAAAAACUACCUCAGGCUGGCUUUGUCUGACCCUUUUAGGAAGGGUCAGAAACUUGAGACAUUUGACAGCUUUAGUUAAUAAAAAACUAGCAGCUAAUUUACAUACCUUUUAAAUUCUCAUAUUCCUCAUACGUUAUAUUGAAUUCCACAAAUGUCAAUCCAUUGAUGGAUUUAGAAGUAAUUGUAAAUUAGGAACAGGGUCUGAGCUAGCGUGAAGUGUUCCAAUGGCUGUGGCAUCGGGGCCAUCUGUUGCCCUGAAGCAGAGAAUGGGAUGAACUCUUUCUGCUUCUGCAUAGAGGAACUCAGGAAACAGCAUGGUCCAUUGUCCACCUCACAGGAGUGAUCCCCACAGACCCGGGCAGACUCUCCAGCUGCGAGUUCAUCUUUAGGCAGUGCAACCUUCCUCUGGAAUUUCUGUAGGAAGCUAUAUUCUUGUUCUGGCUGGGGGGUUCUCAGGGGAUCCCCCAGUGCCUGGGGGGGUCGGUGAUAUUCAGGGCGGUUCCAGCUAAUCAACUUCACUUGUGAUGGAAAAAGCUAAUGUAAAAAGAGCAUCCAGAGAGAUCCCGUCAAAUGGCUAAUGUCUUAAAGCACAUUAAGGGGAAGGAAACUGGGGACUGCAAGGUGAGGCUUGCCUGAACUGCACAGUGAGACCUUGUCUCCAGAAAACAGAACAAAGCCUGCCAGGGCCUCUGUCUUGUUUUGUUUUGUUUUGUUUUGUUUUGUUUUGUUUUUUAACCUUCAGUACAUUGCUAUUGUAAAGAGAGGGUGGGACCCUCAUGGGCAGGGUACCACAGAGCCUAGGCAAGACUGGAAGGUCCUGGGCAGAGCUAUCGGCAGCACUUGAGCCUGGUGCCUGUCCAGUGCUCCGUGUGCUGCCCUCUAAGGUCGCUGUUUACAGGUAAAUAUUUCGACCAACAUUCGAAAGCAGGGGUACGGGAGUGAAAUCUGUAAAGUCAACCCCUCAAUCUUUCCCCUGGUCUGGCACCAGCCCUGCCUCAGCUUCCUGUUUGCAAUGGGGAGCCACCAGUGCAAAACUGAGAUAACAGCCAGCUCGCUCUUUUUUUUUUCUUUUUUAAUUCUCUCACUUUUUAGGUUAGUUCUUAUCCAAACCUCUUUCUAAAGCUUUCUAAACCCC